ACAGAAAGUGGGGAAAGGUCACGGCUACCUGGGAGCUGAGUCUGUUGUCAGUCCCUCCCUUCCUCCACCCUGCCUCCCGUCCCUUAUCUCGACUUUCUUGGGGCUGGUCGGGAGCAAAAGGGCGCACGCGGUGAAGUCAGGUCCUGAAAUCACCGGGGGAUUUUUUUUGCGGAGGAGAAGGUGGAAGGAAAGAACAGUGAGCAGGCUCUGGCUCCAGCACCAAUGGCUUCAGCCGGAGGCCAAGGCAGCCUCGGUGACACUUCCUCAAAGUGAAAGCGAAAGCCAAGUAGGCGGAGAGGACUGACGGGGCCAGGCGGUCGGCCAGGCAGGCGUGUUUGGAGCCCCUUCUCCAGCCCGGACCUGGCCGGCGCGGGGCACGAGGAGGGGCGGCGGGGGAGGAGGGCCUGAGAGCAGCCCCCAUGGGCUCCGAGGGGUGGUGCUUGCUGGUCUGCUUGGCUCUCUCCGGGGCAGCAGACGCCGUAGAAAGGCAGUGGCGGGCAGUGGACGUGAUCUUGGACUGCUUCCUGAUGGGGGAAGGUGGGCACCGUGGAGCUUUCGCCAGCAGUGAGAACAUGGUGAAGGCCUUGUUGGUGCUGAAGCAGGUGCCAGUGCCGGACGACGGCUCGCUGGAAGGCCUCACGGAUUUCCAAGGGGGCACACUGGCCGAGGACGACCCACUCAUUACCUUCGAGGCCUCAGUGAACCUGAUACGGAUUCCCCAGGCCGAGGCCUUGCUCCAUGCUGACUGCAGCGGCAAAGAGGUGACCUGUGAGAUCUCCAGCUAUUUUCUCCAGGCCAGGCCCAAGGCCACGGUGGAGACGGCAGCCUGGUUCAUCACUAACGUGCUAGUGCCUGGAGAGGGACCUAGUAUCUCCAUGGUGAUGAAGACCCUUGGGGAUGCUGAGAAUGGGGCUGUCUUGCAUCCCAUGCUGAAACUGCCCCUGAGCCCCCAGGGGACUGUGCGGACUGAAGUGGAGUUCCAGGUGACAACACAGACCCCGUCCCUGAAUCUCCUGCUGGGGUCCUCAACCUCCCUGCACUGUGGCUUCUCCAUGGCACCAGGCUUGGGCAUCACCAGCGUGGAGUGGCACCGGCAGCAUAAGGGCAGUGGCCACCUGGUGUACCGCUGGGCCACGGGGCAGGGGCAGGCCAAGCGGGAGGGCGCCACCCUGGAGCCUCAGCAGCUGCUCAUGGCUGGGGACGCCUCCCUCACCCUACCCAGCCUCACUCUGAAGGAUGAGGGGACCUACAUCUGCGAGAUCACAACCUCCCUGUACCGAGCUCAACAGAUCAUCCAGCUCAACGUCCAAGCUGCCCCCAAAGUACGACUGAGCUUGGCGAGCGAAGCUCUGCCGCCCACCCUCUUCUGCAGUGUCACUGGCUAUUACCCUCUGGAUGUGACUGUGACGUGGAUCCGGGAGGAGCUGGGUGGAGCCCCGGCCCCAGUCUCUGGCGCCUCCUUCUCCAGCCUCCGGUAUAGCACGGCAGGCACCUACAGCAUCUCCUCCUCCCUGACGGCAGAGCCUGGCUCUGUGGGUGCCACUUACACCUGCCAAGUCACCCACGUGUCCCUGCAGGAGCCCCUGGGGGCCAACACCUGGGUUGCCCCACCAGGUAUGGGAGUGCCCUCCUUUCCCCACCACCACACCUGGGCUCACGGCUCCUGCCCUCUGGCCUUGUUCUGCUUCCCACAGUGUCGGCUGCUGCUUUCCCAAGGUGACAGCCUCCAGAGGUCCCACCCCGUCCUCCAAGACUUUAUUACCCCCCGAGUUCUGGGGUACCAGGCACUGCUGAGAGCUGGAGACCAAGGCUGAACAACUCCUCAUCCUGCCCUCGAGGAGCUUAGCCCAGUGGGAGGGACAGACUAGGCAGUCAGGGAAGAUGACCCCGGGGAGGCCUGCAAGCCGGCUGAGCUGGGUCAGGGGCAGGGAACACCAGGACCGAAGGGACGUCAUGUGUGAAGGCCUCAUUAUAAAACAGGCUAGAAAGAACUGGGGGGCCUGCACGGCUAGAGGCAAGGGUGCGUGGGGAAAGAGGGCUGUGGCCGUGAAGCUUGAGAGGUGAUGGUGUUCGCUGAGCAUCUGUGUCAAGCCAGCAGGGCACUGAGCCCUCAGAUGUGGGCCUCCACAGGUCCUCACUCCUCCCAUCUUAGAGAUGAGUAACUGAUACUUGCAGAGGUUCCGUAAUUUGCCCAAGGUCACCUGCCUAGGAAAUGGUAAAACAGAAAAUGUGGAAAAUAGGCGAUUCCCCUACAGCCUCAACCCCGCUCCUGCUACUGAUGGGCAGAUAACAGCAGGCCUUCAAGCGGGAACUUCAUCCCGAGGCCACAGACUGUCUUCGAAAGGUCCUACACCAUAGAGUCGGCACCUCGAAAUGCCUUGCUUGGUGUCUCAUGAGACUGUAAGCUUCCCCGAAACUGGGGUUUUGCCUCAGCUUACAUCAUUCCCAGUGGUUUACACAAUUCCAGUUUAACUAUCACCAGCUAAUCUAAACUAAAUCUCCCGUGCAAAGCCGUUUGAAAAAAGGUUGUCCUGAGGUGGGAAGAGGUAAAGGAUUCUGUGUGGAGUGACACACGGACGUCCACCGAGCAGGCCCCAGCGCCACCAUGUGCUGGUCCCUGGGUGAGAGCAGGAAAACAGCUGAUGGGAGCUCCUCGGCCAGGGACGCUUGAACGCAGGCGCGCGCGCGCCCUGCCCUUCCUGCCGGGGCAGACGCUGCACAUGAGGGCUCAGUAUGAUUCCCGCCACUGAUCCCCGUCCACACCUCUGUCCCCUACAGAGCAGAGGACGGCCUUUGGAGUCCUUUUUGCCAGCAGCCUCUUCCUCCUGGCACUGCUGUUCCUGGGACUGCAGAGACGCCAAGCUACCUCACCAAGGCCUGCCAGGACCCCGAGGCACUCCGGGUAGCCACUCUCCUGCCUUAGAUAU
This is an RNA transcript of Lagenorhynchus albirostris (white-beaked dolphin), 2927 nucleotides long. It is a transcript of the gene named TAP binding protein like, with no coding region annotated. The transcript is spliced from 6 exons. Lineage: Eukaryota; Metazoa; Chordata; Mammalia; Artiodactyla; Delphinidae. The record is from RefSeq and is a predicted model, not a curated record.